Molecule: transfer RNA, 72 nt
Filed under: Gasterosteus aculeatus (three-spined stickleback)
Lineage: Eukaryota; Metazoa; Chordata; Actinopteri; Perciformes; Gasterosteidae
Rfam family: tRNA
About the family: Transfer RNA (tRNA) molecules are approximately 80 nucleotides in length.
Source: Rfam by way of RNAcentral
UCCUCGUUAGUAUAGUGGACAGUAUCUCUGCUUGUCACGCAGAAGACCAGGGUUCGAUUCCCUGACCGGGAG